RNAcentral lists this unclassified non-coding RNA (520 nucleotides) under uncultured Archaeospora. Its description in RNAcentral is "SSU rRNA". It matches the Rfam family "Eukaryotic small subunit ribosomal RNA", at positions 569 to 1095 of the family's 1831-position model. The record is from RNAcentral. Lineage: Eukaryota; Fungi; Glomeromycota; Glomeromycetes; Archaeosporales; Archaeosporaceae. RNAcentral also lists the same sequence under 1 other name.
AGCAGCCGCGGUAAUUCCAGCUCCAAUAGCGUAUAUUAAAGUUGUUGCAGUUAAAAGCUCGUAGUUGAAUUUUAGGCCUGACCGGGCGGUCCGUCUCUGGCGAGUACUCUCCCGUUGUCGGGUCUAUCCUUCUGGUGAGCCGAUAUGUCCUUCACUGAGUGUGUCGGGGAACCAGAACCAUUACCUUGAAAAAAAUUAGAGUGUUUAAAGCGAGCUUUUGCUUGAAUAGAUUAGCAUGGAAUAAUAAAAUAGGACGUUGGUUCUAUUUUGUUGGUCUAGGACCACCGUAAUGAUUAAUAGGGAUAGUUGGGGGCAUUAGUAUUCAAUUGUCGGAGGUGAAAUUCUUGGAUUUAUUGAAGACUAACUACUGCGAAAGCAUUUGCCAAGGAUGUUUUCAUUAAUCAAGAACGAAAGUUAGGGGAUCGAAGACGAUCAGAUACCGUCGUAGUCUUAACCAUAAACUAUGCCGACUAGGAAUCGGGCGACGUUAUUUUCAUGACUCGCUCGGCGCCUUAUGGGA